AGCGUAGGCGGACAUUUAAGUCAGGGGUGAAAUCCCGGGGCUCAACCUCGGAAUUGCCUUUGAUACUGGGUGUCUUGAGUAUGAGAGAGGUGUGUGGAACUCCGAGUGUAGAGGUGAAAUUCGUAGAUAUUCGGAGGAACACCAGUGGCGAAGGCGGCUUACUGGUCCAUUACUGACGCUGAAGUGCGAAAGCGUGGGGAGCAAACA
This 207-nucleotide ribosomal RNA is filed under the name uncultured bacterium. RNAcentral's name for it is "partial 16S ribosomal RNA". It matches the Rfam family "Bacterial small subunit ribosomal RNA", at positions 568 to 774 of the family's 1533-position model. The record is from RNAcentral.